RNAcentral lists this ribosomal RNA (645 nucleotides) under Papiliotrema flavescens. RNAcentral's name for it is "LSU rRNA". It matches the Rfam family "Eukaryotic large subunit ribosomal RNA", at positions 1 to 608 of the family's 3401-position model. The record is from RNAcentral. Lineage: Eukaryota; Fungi; Basidiomycota; Tremellomycetes; Tremellales; Rhynchogastremaceae.
UUGCGCACCUUUUGACUUUGACCUGAAAUCAGGUAGGGCUACCCGCUGAACUUAAGCAUAUCAAUAAGCGGAGGAAAAGAAACUAACAAGGAUUCCCCUAGUAACGGCGAGUGAACCGGGAAGAGCUCAAAUUUGAAAUCUGGCGUGCUCAGUGCGUCCGAGUUGUAAUCUAUAGAGUCGUUUUCCGUGCCGGACUGUGUCCAAGUCCCUUGGAACAGGGUAUCAAAGAGGGUGAUAAUCCCGUACUUGACACAAUGACCGGUGCUCUGUGAUACGUCUUCUACGAGUCGAGUUGUUUGGGAAUGCAGCUCAAAAUGGGUGGUGAGUUCCAUCUAAAGCUAAAUAUUGGCGAGAGACCGAUAGCGAACAAGUACCGUGAGGGAAAGAUGAAAAGCACUUUGGAAAGAGAGUUAAACAGUACGUGAAAUUGUUAAAAGGGAAACGAUUGAAGUCAGUCGUGACUGAGAGGCUCAGCCGGUUCUGCCGGUGUAUUCCCCUCAGUCGGGUCAACAUCAGUUUUGUUCGGUGGAUAAGGGCAGUUGGAAGGUGGCACCCUCGGGUGUGUUAUAGCCAGCUGUCGCAUACAUCGGAUGAGACUGAGGAAUGCAGCUCGCCUUUAUGGCCGGGGUUCGCCCACGUCGAGCU